UAUGCUAGUAUAUAUUCUAUCUGCGGCAAAACCCACUACUGGUGUCACUAGAGUGUGUUUUGGUAAACACAUUCAGAAUGUCUAACUCAAGAACUUUUCUAGAUCUUUUUGUCUAAAAGUGCAUAAAAUGUCAAACGACGUGUUAAAAGUGCGGUUACCGUCGGCGUUAGCAAAUAAAAGACGCCACAGACAAAUCGAACUCGUUGGAAGCAACAUAAGUUAAUUGGCUUUGAUAUUAAAUAAUUUCACAUCAGAACUUCAACAAUCAAGGGCGUGUUAUUGUUUUCCAUACGGGGCGCGCACACGACGCCAGGAAGCCAUUCUAUGCUCGCGCAGCAGGUAUACUGAUAGCAGCAGGAGCGAAACGCCGGCGUUGCACAGCGGUGUCACAGAGCCACCGCGCUGCGAUCACUUCGGCGACACAAUCCAAAUUUGUCGGACAUCUGAUUCUGUGCUGGAAACACUGGGAGGCAGGAAGUUUGAAAAAACGGCCACUGCCGCCCCCAAUGUCUCGGUCGUGGGUUCGUUAUGCCACUUGUGCGUCAUUCAAAGCCGUUCUGUGCAUUUAUACUGGAUAUUAAUUGGAGUCAUUUAGCUGUGCUGAUUCUGCUUGCCGUGUGUUUUGCAUCAGUGCUUCGUGACAUCGGCUGUAUUGCGUGUUUUCGCCGACGGCUUACUACCACAAUGGCGUGAUCUGCGUUCGCCGCCUUCGUGUCUCGGUGCGUCUUUGUAUACGUCGCACGUUCGGACAACACUUUUUCCGAUGGCUGGACAUCCUCCUUGUACCGUGGCGCUAGCUGGAUGACGGGACCUCAUCAUGAUCAGUGUAUUGCUUGCCUAUGUCUACAAGAACCGUCAUUCGUGGCCUGUGACAGCAAGCUUUUGUGGGCAGCAAGUGCUCUCCUACGAAGGCUGGCCUACUCUGGCAGCGGCGGCAAUCAUCUUCAAGAUUUAUCCAUGAUCACCUUUGCUUCUAUUUGUCACUCUUGUUGAUUACACUUUCUGCAUCUUUUCUAAUUUAUUAGGUAAUAAAGUAUGAGUAUGUG
This is a long non-coding RNA of Dermacentor andersoni, 1046 nucleotides long. RefSeq lists it as uncharacterized. Lineage: Eukaryota; Metazoa; Arthropoda; Arachnida; Ixodida; Ixodidae. The record is from RefSeq and is a predicted model, not a curated record.